RNAcentral lists this ribosomal RNA (1018 nucleotides) under Bacillus sp. (in: firmicutes). RNAcentral's name for it is "bacterial SSU rRNA". It matches the Rfam family "Bacterial small subunit ribosomal RNA", at positions 37 to 1039 of the family's 1533-position model. The record is from RNAcentral. Lineage: Bacteria; Bacillati; Bacillota; Bacilli; Caryophanales; Bacillaceae.
UGGAUGGCGGGUGCUAUACAUGCAGUCGAGCGGACAGAUGGGAGCUUGCUCCCUGAUGUUAGCGGCGGACGGGUGAGUAACACGUGGGUAACCUGCCUGUAAGACUGGGAUAACUCCGGGAAACCGGGGCUAAUACCGGAUGGUUGUUUGAACCGCAUGGUUCAAACAUAAAAGGUGGCUUCGGCUACCACUUACAGAUGGACCCGCGGCGCAUUAGCUAGUUGGUGAGGUAAUGGCUCACCAAGGCAACGAUGCGUAGCCGACCUGAGAGGGUGAUCGGCCACACUGGGACUGAGACACGGCCCAGACUCCUACGGGAGGCAGCAGUAGGGAAUCUUCCGCAAUGGACGAAAGUCUGACGGAGCAACGCCGCGUGAGUGAUGAAGGUUUUCGGAUCGUAAAGCUCUGUUGUUAGGGAAGAACAAGUACCGUUCGAAUAGGGCGGUACCUUGACGGUACCUAACCAGAAAGCCACGGCUAACUACGUGCCAGCAGCCGCGGUAAUACGUAGGUGGCAAGCGUUGUCCGGAAUUAUUGGGCGUAAAGGGCUCGCAGGCGGUUUCUUAAGUCUGAUGUGAAAGCCCCCGGCUCAACCGGGGAGGGUCAUUGGAAACUGGGGAACUUGAGUGCAGAAGAGGAGAGUGGAAUUCCACGUGUAGCGGUGAAAUGCGUAGAGAUGUGGAGGAACACCAGUGGCGAAGGCGACUCUCUGGUCUGUAACUGACGCUGAGGAGCGAAAGCGUGGGGAGCGAACAGGAUUAGAUACCCUGGUAGUCCACGCCGUAAACGAUGAGUGCUAAGUGUUAGGGGGUUUCCGCCCCUUAGUGCUGCAGCUAACGCAUUAAGCACUCCGCCUGGCGAGUACGGUCGCAAGACUGAACUCAAUGAAUUGACGGAGCCCGCACAAGCGGUGUAGCAUGUGGUUUAUUUCGAAUCACGCGGACAACCAUACCAUGUCCUUGACAUCCUCGACUAUUCUACAGAUAGGUACGUCGCGCUUCGCCGCCAAGUGACAAGU